Molecule: ribosomal RNA, 244 nt
Filed under: Clostridioides difficile
Lineage: Bacteria; Bacillati; Bacillota; Clostridia; Peptostreptococcales; Peptostreptococcaceae
Description: partial 16S ribosomal RNA
Rfam family: Bacterial small subunit ribosomal RNA
Source: RNAcentral
ACUCCGCCUGGGAAGUACGCUCGCAAGGGUGAAACUCAAAGGAAUUGACGGGGACCCGCACAAGUAGCGGAGCAUGUGGUUUAAUUCGAAGCAACGCGAAGAACCUUACCUAAGCUGGACAUCCCAAUGACAUCUCCUUAAUCGGAGAGUUCCCUUCGGGGACAUUGGUGACAGGUGGUGCAUGGUUGUCGUCAGCUCGUGUCGUGAGAUGUUGGGUUAAGUCCCGCAACGAGCGCAACCCUUG